UACGAAGGGGGCUAGCGUUGCUCGGAAUUACUGGGCGUAAAGCGCACGUAGGCGGCUUCUUAAGUCGGUGGUGAAAUCCUGGAGCUCAACUCCAGAACUGCCUUCGAUACUGGGAAGCUCGAGUCCGGGAGAGGUGAGUGGAACUGCGAGUGUAGAGGUGAAAUUCGUAGAUAUUCGCAAGAACACCAGUGGCGAAGGCGGCUCACUGGCCCGUAACUGACGCUGAGGCACGAAAGCGUGGGGAGCAAACAGG
RNAcentral lists this ribosomal RNA (253 nucleotides) under uncultured bacterium. Its description in RNAcentral is "partial 16S ribosomal RNA". It matches the Rfam family "Bacterial small subunit ribosomal RNA", at positions 524 to 776 of the family's 1533-position model. The record is from RNAcentral.